GCCCCCGUAGCUCAAAUGCCAGAGCGCCGGGCUUAUACCCCGGGCGGUGGAGGUUCAAGUCCUCCCCGGGGGUA
RNAcentral lists this transfer RNA (74 nucleotides) under Nitrospirota bacterium. Its description in RNAcentral is "tRNA-Ile". It matches the Rfam family "tRNA". From Rfam's summary of the family: Transfer RNA (tRNA) molecules are approximately 80 nucleotides in length. The record is from RNAcentral. Lineage: Bacteria; Pseudomonadati; Nitrospirota.